AUUGAACGCUGGCGGCAGGCCUAACACAUGCAAGUCGAGCGGCAGCGGAAAGUAGCUUGCUACUUUGCCGGCGAGCGGCGGACGGGUGAGUAAUGUCUGGGAAACUGCCUGAUGGAGGGGGAUAACUACUGGAAACGGUAGCUAAUACCGCAUGACCUCGAAAGAGCAAAGUGGGGGAUCUUCGGACCUCACGCCAUCGGAUGUGCCCAGAUGGAAUUAGCUAGUAGGUGAGGUAAUGGCUCACCUAGGCGACGAUCCCUAGCUGGUCUGAGAGGAUGACCAGCCACACUGGAACUGAGACACGGUCCAGACUCCUACGGGAGGCAGCAGUGGGGAAUAUUGCACAAUGGGCGCAAGCCUGAUGCAGCCAUGCCGCGUGUGUGAAGAAGGCCUUAGGGUUGUAAAGCACUUUCAGCGAGGAGGAAGGCACCAUACUUAAUACGUGUGGUGAUUGACGUUACUCGCAGAAGAAGCACCGGCUAACUCCGUGCCAGCAGCCGCGGUAAUACGGAGGGUGCAAGCGUUAAUCGGAAUUACUGGGCGUAAAGCGCACGCAGGCGGUUUGUUAAGUCAGAUGUGAAAUCCCCGCGCUUGACGUGGGAACUGCAUUUGAAACUGGCAAGCUAGAGUCUUGUAGAGGGGGGUAGAAUUCCAGGUGUAGCGGUGAAAUGCGUAGAGAUCUGGAGGAAUACCGGUGGCGAAGGCGGCCCCCUGGACAAAGACUGACGCUCAGGUGCGAAAGCGUGGGGAGCAAACAGG
Molecule: ribosomal RNA, 759 nt
Filed under: uncultured Enterobacteriaceae bacterium
Lineage: Bacteria; Pseudomonadati; Pseudomonadota; Gammaproteobacteria; Enterobacterales; Enterobacteriaceae
Description: bacterial SSU rRNA
Rfam family: Bacterial small subunit ribosomal RNA
Source: RNAcentral